AUUGAACGCUGGCGGCAUGCUUUACACAUGCAAGUCGAACGGCAGCGCGGGCUUCGGCCUGGCGGCGAGUGGCGAACGGGUGAGUAAUACAUCGGAACGUGCCCAGUAGUGGGGGAUAGCUCGGCGAAAGCCGGAUUAAUACCGCAUACGACCUGAGGGUGAAAGCGGGGGAUCUUCGGACCUCGCGCUAUUGGAGCGGCCGAUGGCAGAUUAGCUAGUUGGUGGGGUAAAGGCCUACCAAGGCGACGAUUUGUAGCUGGUCUGAGAGGACGACCAGCCACACUGGGACUGAGACACGGCCCAGACUCCUACGGGAGGCAGCAGUGGGGAAUUUUGGACAAAGGGCGAAAGCCUGAUCCAGCAAUGCCGCGUGUGUGAUGAAGGCCUUCGGGUUGUAAAGCACUUUUGGCGGGAACGAAAAGGACUGUGCCAAUACCACGGUUCGAUGACGGUACCCGCAGAAUAAGCACCGGCUAACUACGUG
This 484-nucleotide ribosomal RNA is filed under the name uncultured bacterium. Its description in RNAcentral is "partial 16S ribosomal RNA". It matches the Rfam family "Bacterial small subunit ribosomal RNA", at positions 29 to 507 of the family's 1533-position model. The record is from RNAcentral.